UGGAGCAUUCUCAGAAAGUAGAUGGAUCUUCU
This 32-nucleotide non-coding RNA is filed under the name Rattus norvegicus (Norway rat). The record is from RNAcentral. Lineage: Eukaryota; Metazoa; Chordata; Mammalia; Rodentia; Muridae.